This 1895-nucleotide small RNA is filed under the name Arabidopsis thaliana (thale cress). RNAcentral describes it as "ATSL077380". The record is from RNAcentral. Lineage: Eukaryota; Viridiplantae; Streptophyta; Magnoliopsida; Brassicales; Brassicaceae.
ACGUCACCCGGUUCAUUGGAACCUGACGGGAAAUCGCCGAGCAAAUAAACGGAUUGGAUUAUCUUGGCUUGAUGAGCGUUCACCGAAAACUUGGAUGAGUAAUAUGCGAAGAGAGUUGUUUGUGUCCCCCUACCUGGCGCGCCAAUUGUUGAUUCUGAAAAUCACACAAUAAAUUUGUUUAAAGGGGGUAAACAAAUUUACUUAACUCUCUCGCUAUUUAGUGACCAAAGAUUCAAUGAAAAGAAGAACAAGGUUGCUUAGAGACAAAGUUAGGGUUUUGCCCAAGAACAAUGAAGAAAACUAGGGUUUUUAGUAUUAAAUUUCGGAUCCUUAGAAUAGAGGACAAACCCCUCUAUUUAUACACUAUUAAGACGGUUAAAAGAGUUGUUAAACUUUUAUUUCUUCGAGGAUUGAAUCUUCUAAUUUCCUUUAUCUCCAAAGACUUCCUAUUUUCAAAGGAGAAAACUUCUUUUUCUUCGAAUUAGGAAGUCGGCUAGACGGUCUCCCUACUUCGGGCUAAAGUUGGCAAAUGACCUCCUUAUUUUGGCCCAUUAACAGGCUAAACCGGGAUACCCCGGUUUGAUUGAAAUCUCAGUCUAAUUCGUAGUUCCUCUGGUUUAAGCCGGUAUUGUCGGAGGUGCUAAUUCCGGCACCAACACCAUACCGCAUUGUGUUUGGACUUGAUCCCCGUUGGCAGUCCGGUGACGAAAUCCAUCGUUAUGUGGUCCCACUUCCAUUCCGGUAUAGGUAGGUUUUGUAACAACCCACUUGGUACUUGAUGCUCCGCUUUGACCAGUUGACAAGUCGGGCACUUGGCCACCCAUCUGGCCACGUCUUUCUUCAUUCCUACCCAAUGGUAGUACCUUUUAAGGUCGCGGUACAUCUUGUUCGACCCAGGAUGGAUUGAGAACUUCGAUUGAUGGGCCUCUCUUAGGAUCUCCUCCUUUAAUGCCCUAUCGUUCGGCACACAUACUCGACCGUUCACCACGAUUGUACCAUUGUUCGAGGUUUGGUACUCGGUCUUAUUGUUUAGUGCCCAUCCUUUUAUCUCCUCGUCCCGUUCCUGAGCCAGCCGGAUCCUACUAAGCAGGUCGGCCUGAUCGGCGGCUCCCAACCCUAAGGGUUCAACUUCUUUAGACAAGGCAUUCACAUGCAAUGUCCCCAUCAUGUUAACCAAGUCCACUUGGCUCCGUUCCGCCUCAACUUCCGAACGCCUCCUACUCAGGGCGUCGGCGACUUGGUUGGCCUUGCCCGGAUGGUACGCUAUAUCCAAGUCGUAAUCCGCCACAAGUUCCAUCCACCUUCUUUGCCUUAGAUUCAACUCCGGCUGGGUGAAUAUGUACUUUAGGCUUUUGUGGUCAGUAUAGAUUUGAACUUUAGCACCAUACAAGUAUGAUCGCCAAAUCUUCAAGGCAAAUACUACCGCGGCCAUUUCCAAAUCAUGUGUAGGGUAGUUCUUCUCAUGUUUCCGCAAUUGCCUUGAUGCGUAUGCGAUAACACUCCCCUUUUGCAUCAGUACGCAUCCUAGUCCCACUAUUGAUGCGUCCGUAUAAACCGUAUAUGGCUCACCUUCCUCCGGUAAGACCAAUACUGGUGCAUUAGUCAACAUGGCCUUUAACUCCAGGAAGCUUUUCUCGCAUUCAUCCGACCAGUUGAAUGCGGUGUCUUUUCCGGUCAGUCGAGACAAGGGUUGGGCCAUGCUCGCAAAACUCCUUACGAACCUUCGGUAAUACCCCGCUAGUCCGAGAAAACUCCUAAUCUCGGUGGCAAUCCUUGGUCGUGGCCACUCCUUUAUCGACCGUAUUUUCUCCGGAUCAACCGACACUCCUUGGUCCGAGAUAACAUGACCAAGAAAACCAACGCUUCUUUGCCAAAAUGAGCAUUUACUUAACUUU